This 465-nucleotide ribosomal RNA is filed under the name uncultured bacterium. RNAcentral's name for it is "partial 16S ribosomal RNA". It matches the Rfam family "Bacterial small subunit ribosomal RNA", at positions 338 to 795 of the family's 1533-position model. The record is from RNAcentral.
CCUACGGGAGGCAGCAGUGGGGAAUAUUGCGCAAUGGGCGAAAGCCUGAUGCAGCGACGCCGCGUGAGGGAUGAAGGUCUUCGGAUCGUAAACCUCUGUCAGCAGGGAAGAACGGUCACUGUGUUAAUCAGCAGUGAAUUGACGGUACCUGCAAAGGAAGCACCGGCUAACUCCGUGCCAGCAGCCGCAGUAAUACGGAGGGUGCGAGCGUUAAUCGGAAUUACUGGGCGUAAAGCGCUCGUAGGCGGUAUGGCAAGUCAAGGGUGAAAUCCCCGCGCUCAACGUGGGAACGGCAUUUGAAACGGGCAGACUGGAGUGUGUGAGAGGGUAGUGGAAUUCCAGGUGUAGGAGUGAAAUCCGUAGAUAUCUGGAGGAACAUCAGUGGCGAAGGCGACUAUCUGGCACAUAACUGACGCUGAGGCACGAAAGCGUGGGUAGCAAACAGGAUUAGAUACCCGUGUAGUC